ACGCUCGACACCUACGGGAGCCAGCAGUGGGGAAUAUUGCACAAUGGGGGAAACCCUGAUGCAGCGACGCCGCGUGGAGGAAGAAGGUCUUCGGAUUGUAAACUCCUGUUGUUGGGGAAAAAGAGGAUGGUACCCAACAAGGAAGUGACGGCUAACUACGUGCCAGCAGCCGCGGUAAUCUGAGCGGGCUGGCAAGGC
RNAcentral lists this ribosomal RNA (198 nucleotides) under uncultured bacterium. Its description in RNAcentral is "partial 16S ribosomal RNA". It matches the Rfam family "Bacterial small subunit ribosomal RNA", at positions 328 to 539 of the family's 1533-position model. The record is from RNAcentral.